This 470-nucleotide ribosomal RNA is filed under the name Naegleria clarki. RNAcentral describes it as "eukaryotic LSU rRNA". The stretch from base 28 to 172 matches the Rfam family "5.8S ribosomal RNA". The record is from RNAcentral. Lineage: Eukaryota; Heterolobosea; Eutetramitea; Acrasida; Naegleriidae.
AGGGAAGUGGAAACUUUUUUACCCCCAAACUCUGUGCAAUGGAGCACACGGCUUAUGCAUCGAUGAAGCCCGCGGCAAAAAGCGAUAUGUAAUGAGAUUCGUUAGCCUCGCGAUUCAUCAAAUUGGUGAACACAUACUGGACCUCUUCGGAGGUACUUGCGUUAGAGUGCUAGUUUUCUAUCAAUUGAUCCUGGUAAAAGGUGUUUGAAUCAUUAGGUUCUUACGCCCUAGCCGGUGUAGCCGGAUUCUCUUUGAGAAUUCGGAUUGUUCCUGGAUGCCGAUGAUAUGUCAUGUGUGAUUCUGCCUUAGUAUACUCAUUAGGAUGAAUUUCCGAGGGGUCCCCUGCUUUGGAGAUGAAUAACAACAUAUUGUCAAUUUCUAGGUCAAUCUUCUUUUUUAUUAAACUGGCCUCUAAUGUGAGAGGGUACCCCCUGGAUUUAAGCAUAUUAAUAAGGGGAGGAAAAAGAAAA